This is a long non-coding RNA of Gossypium arboreum, 444 nucleotides long. RefSeq lists it as uncharacterized. The record is from RefSeq and is a predicted model, not a curated record. The transcript has 3 exons. NCBI's taxonomy places the organism in Eukaryota, Viridiplantae, Streptophyta, Magnoliopsida, Malvales, Malvaceae.
AUGAUAAGAAUUUCAUGUCUUUUGUAUUAAAGAAUUAAAUGGAUGAAAUAUGAAGUUUUAUUAAAAGAAAAAGGGGUGAAAAGAACAAAGUUUUGUCCAUCUUUAUUCAUCAUAGCUGAAAGUUAGAGAAGAGAAAGGAGAGGAGAAAGCUCUUGAGUAUUCGGUCAUUAGGAGGAGGAAAAUUGAAGGCGGUUCGUGUGUGGAUCUCGUCAACAUAUCGUCGCAAACAGGUGAGUCUUGAUGUGGGUGACUUGGAGCCGGAGGGGAUUCAGAGUGGCCAUUGUGAACACUUUUGGGUUUGAAAAAGAGACUGGUAUUCUUAAGUUAUUUUUAAUUACUAUUUAAAGUUUUGGGUUGUAAUAAGGUCAUUUUAACUUUAUUUUCUUCUUUGAUUUUCUGGGAUUAUAUUAUUUUAAACAACCUUAAAUUGAUGGAUAAUAACAA